Molecule: ribosomal RNA, 253 nt
Filed under: uncultured bacterium
Lineage: Bacteria
Description: partial 16S ribosomal RNA
Rfam family: Bacterial small subunit ribosomal RNA
Source: RNAcentral
UACGUAGGGGGCAAGCGUUGUCCGGAAUCAUUGGGCGUAAAGAGCGUGUAGGCGGCCCGAUAAGUCCGCUGUGAAAGUCCAGGGCUCAACCCUGGAAUGCCGGUGGAUACUGUCGGGCUCGAAUCCGGAAGAGGUGAGUGGAAUUCCUGGUGUAGCGGUGAAAUGCGCAGAUAUCAGGAAGAACACCAAUGGCGAAGGCAGCUCUCUGGGACGGUACUGACGCUGAGACGCGAAAGCGUGGGGAGCGAACAGG